Molecule: ribosomal RNA, 253 nt
Filed under: uncultured bacterium
Lineage: Bacteria
Description: partial 16S ribosomal RNA
Rfam family: Bacterial small subunit ribosomal RNA
Source: RNAcentral
UACGAAGGGGGCUAGCGUUGUUCGGAAUCACUGGGCGUAAAGCGCUCGUAGGCGGAUUUGUUAGUCAGGGGUGAAAUCCCGGAGCUCAACUCCGGAACUGCCUUUGAUACUGCAAGUCUCGAGUCCGAUAGAGGUGGGUGGAAUUCCUAGUGUAGAGGUGAAAUUUGUAGAUAUUAGGAAGAACACCGGUGGCGAAGGCGGCCCACUGGAUCGGUACUGACGCGGAGGUGCGAAAGCGUGGGGAGCAAACAGG